Molecule: long non-coding RNA, 322 nt
Filed under: Ananas comosus (pineapple)
Lineage: Eukaryota; Viridiplantae; Streptophyta; Magnoliopsida; Poales; Bromeliaceae
Description: long non-coding RNA (ACOM_LNC020651)
Source: RNAcentral
AAAUCAUAAAAAAUAACAUAUUACUUUCAGUACAUGUGGUAAAAAUUUAGUGGUUGAUUUUCGAAAUUUCAAGUUUAAAUUAUUUUUUAGUUAAAUUUAUUUUUUAAAAAAAUAAACGAACCGUUAACAUGUUAUCUUUUUCUAAAAAAAAUAUCAUGAAAAAUAAUCUUUCAUAAAAAAUAUUUCGGUGAAAAAAUGGUUUAUGAUUUAUAGCGUUUGAUUUGUAAGAAAAGAAAUAAUUUUUUUUAUCAAUAUUUGUUUGGUUGGAAGAAAAAAAAACACUCGUUCCGUUUGGUGAAAAAAUGAAUAAAAAAAUAUUUAC